CGGCGGACGGGUGAGUAACGCGUAGGAAUCUACCCAGUAGUGGGGGACAACAGUCGGAAACGGCUGCUAAUACCGCAUACGCCCUAUGGGGGAAAGCGGGGGACCUUCGGGCCUCGCGCUAUUGGAUGAGCCUGCGUCGGAUUAGCUUGUUGGUGAGGUAAAGGCUCACCAAGGCGACGAUCCGUAGCUGGUCUGAGAGGAUGAUCAGCCACACUGGAACUGAGACACGGUCCAG
RNAcentral lists this ribosomal RNA (235 nucleotides) under uncultured bacterium. RNAcentral's name for it is "partial 16S ribosomal RNA". It matches the Rfam family "Bacterial small subunit ribosomal RNA", at positions 96 to 334 of the family's 1533-position model. The record is from RNAcentral.